This is a non-coding RNA of Lolium perenne, 1372 nucleotides long. The record is from RefSeq and is a predicted model, not a curated record. NCBI's taxonomy places the organism in Eukaryota, Viridiplantae, Streptophyta, Magnoliopsida, Poales, Poaceae.
GCUAUCCUGUGAACCUCUCGGUCGCAGUGGACUACCGCCGACACUCCAUCUUCCCCGUCGACGGUGAGCCCACCUCCCUAUGUCCUCCCCUAACCUCUCCGACCCCGCAUAUGUGCGCCGCCGAGCAUACCUGGAAUUAGCUGAUGCGCCCUUCUUCUCCACCACACAUGUAUGUGGGGAUCCCCCUUGAUCCUGGCGGCAUGGCCAGAGACGAAGGCAACCCUCAGCCUCGCACGCGUCGCUGCCCGGCUUGGGGGCCAGAUCGUCGGCUGCGGGGCUUAGAUCGACGGGAUGCGGGACCAGAUCAUCGGCUGAGGUCCGCGCCGCCUAGCCGUGCGGCGUGGGCCGAUCUGAGCUUCUUUGCUUUGGAUUGGAGAUUGGGAUUUAGGACUUGUGAAUCUGCCCGUUGUGCUGCGGCUGGUUGGCGUUCUGGGCUGGGAAGUAUGGAAUCAGAGAUAGAGGGUUGCUACCUCUCCAUGCUGGAAUUUGCUAUCAAGAAGUUGCCAAGGUGUGAGGCAUCAAACUGUCGUUGAGGUCUAAACACUCUUGGCUCCAACAAGGCUAACAGCUAGAUCGGUAGCGGUGUCCAGGGCACCAGUAGCUACCUAGCUCAGAGCUAUUAGUUGACAGGCGGCUUCAUCUGCUCGCAAGUUGUGGUCCUUGAGUUGUUGACUGACCAUGUAUCAGAGGACACGCAACAACACACUUCCUGAUCUUGUUGAUGAACACCGGAAUAGGAGUAACACAUAAUGUCAGCUUGCAGAUUUUGCACUAGGAGUGGCAUCAAUACAUAUUUGUAGAGGCUAAGUUGGUCUCCUUCCAGCCCUUAUAUCGAGUGUGCCAGCUCGGGGACUCACACCAAGAUAAGUCUGCGAGGAAACAUAGGGAUGAUCUCUGGAAUCCAUUGCCUCUUAACUGUCUCCCACUGACACAGCCGCUGCCGAGGUUUGCCGCCUACACUGUCCUUCCCUCUCCAACCAGGUAGCCACCAUCGCGUAGGUUGAUUGGCCGUCAGUGUGCCGCUCAGGAGGUGAGUAUUAUGUCUUCAAGAUGAGUCCGUAGAACAGUAUCUUCUUCUAAUAUGUGGUAUGAUCUUCCGAGAUGCUUUGAGCACAACGUUUAUAUAUUUUGAAAAAAAAAAUUGUUUGAUUAUUUUGAUAUGUAGUUUCCUAAUUUCUAAUCAAUAGAAAUUCUAAUGAUGAUAAAAUUAUCAUAUUAAGUUUUAGAAAAGCAAGAAGCCAUUCAAUCUACAGUCAUUAAUUAUUCAUAGUAAAGAUGAAAGGAAAUAUUGUUAUAUAUUUUUAAAAUGUUAUUUCUUUGCUCGUUUUGAUAUGCUAUUUCCUAAUUUCUGAAUAAUGGUGAUUCUAAUGUU